RNAcentral lists this ribosomal RNA (253 nucleotides) under uncultured bacterium. RNAcentral's name for it is "partial 16S ribosomal RNA". It matches the Rfam family "Bacterial small subunit ribosomal RNA", at positions 524 to 776 of the family's 1533-position model. The record is from RNAcentral.
UACAGAGGGUGCAAGCGUUAAUCGGAAUUACUGGGCGUAAAGCGCACGUAGGCGGCUUUGUAAGUUAGAGGUGAAAGCCCGGGGCUCAACUCCGGAACUGCCUUUGAAACUAGAUUGCUAGAAUCUCGGAGAGGCGAGUGGAAUUCCGAGUGUAGAGGUGAAAUUCGUAGAUAUUCGGAAGAACACCAGUGGCGAAGGCGACUCGCUGGACAAGUAUUGACGCUGAGGUGCGAAAGCGUGGGGAGCAAACAGG